This 280-nucleotide ribosomal RNA is filed under the name uncultured bacterium. Its description in RNAcentral is "partial 16S ribosomal RNA". It matches the Rfam family "Bacterial small subunit ribosomal RNA", at positions 62 to 339 of the family's 1533-position model. The record is from RNAcentral.
UUGCACAAGACUGAAUCUGGAUCACCAUCUAGUGGCAGACGGGUGAGUAACACGUGGGUGACCUACCUUUUCGUUGGGGAUAACAGUUGGAAACGAUUGCUAAUACCGAAUAAAAUGUAAGAGUCAAUUUUACAUUGAAAGGAGCCUUUAAAGCUUCGCUUAGAGAUGGGCCUGCGGCGUAUUAGCUAGUUGGUGGGGUAAUGGCCUACCAAGGCGACGAUGCGUAGCCGGACUGAGAGGUUGAACGGCCACAUUGGGACUGAGAUACGGCCCAGACUCC